CCCCUACGGGGGGCAGCAGUGAGGAAUAUUGGUCAAUGGCCGAGAGGCUGAACCAGCCAAGUCGCGUGAGGGAAGACGGCCCUACGGGUUGUAAACCUCUUUUGUCGGGGAGCAAAGCGAGUCACGUGUGACUCAUUGAGAGUACCCGAAGAAAAAGCAUUGGCUAACUCCGUGCCAGCAGCCGCGGUAAUACGGAGGAUGCGAGCGUUAUCCGGAUUUAUUGGGUUUAAAGGGUGCGUAGGCGGCAUUAUAAGUUAGUGGUAAAAUAUUGGGGCUUCACCUCACUACGCCAUUAAUACUGUAGA
Molecule: ribosomal RNA, 305 nt
Filed under: uncultured bacterium
Lineage: Bacteria
Description: bacterial SSU rRNA
Rfam family: Bacterial small subunit ribosomal RNA
Source: RNAcentral